Molecule: unclassified non-coding RNA, 392 nt
Filed under: soil metagenome
Description: partial contains 5.8S ribosomal RNA, internal transcribed spacer 2, and large subunit ribosomal RNA
Rfam family: 5.8S ribosomal RNA (bases 1-122)
Source: RNAcentral
GAUGAAGAACGUAGCGAAAUGCGAUACUUGGUGUGAAUUGCAGAAUCCCGUGAACCAUCGAGUCUUUGAACGCAAGUUGCGCCCGAAGCCACUAGGCCGAGGGCACGCCUGCCUGGGCGUCACACGUCGUUGCCCCCCCCCAUCUACUCCUUCGGGAUUGCGGGGGGCGGAUGAUGGCCUCCCGUGCGCCUAGCCGCGCGGUUGGCAUAAAUACCAAGUCCUCGGCGACGCACGCCACGACAAUCGGUGGUUGCGAAACCUCGGUUGCCCGUCGUGUGCGUUCGUCGCGCAUCGAGGGCUCGAAAAAAUGCUCGGCUCCGGCUCGGCUUUCAACUCGACCCCAGGUCAGGCGGGGUUACCCGCUGAAUUUAAGCAUAUCAAUAAGCGGAGGA